CAGCUGAGCCCAAUUAACCUGCGGGGGAGGAGUAAGGUGGGGCUGAAAGAGCGAGCUGGGAAGGGCUGUGCCUCACUUGGUGGUGUGGCUUGCUUGGAGGUAGCUGUCUCGGAGAAGCCCCUCUGAUGGGAAGCUGCUUUGAAGUUACUUGUUUCUGCAGUAUGUGUGUGGUCCUCAGCACAAGGGAGAACGGCCUGCAGCUGCAGUGCCCUGACAGUUGUGCUCCAACCCCCCAUGCUUCACUGGGACUGUACAAAAGUUGCCAGAGGAAUGUUACCUGACA
Long non-coding RNA from Numida meleagris (helmeted guineafowl), 283 nucleotides. RefSeq lists it as uncharacterized. Lineage: Eukaryota; Metazoa; Chordata; Aves; Galliformes; Numididae. The transcript is spliced from 3 exons. The record is from RefSeq and is a predicted model, not a curated record.